GUGCUCGCUUCGGCAGCACAUUACUAAAAAUGGAAUGAUGCAGAGAAGAUUAGCAUGGCCCCUGCACAAGGAUGACACAAAAAUUCGUUCAUUCCAUAUUUUU
Small nuclear RNA from Meriones unguiculatus (Mongolian gerbil), 103 nucleotides. The record is from Ensembl. Lineage: Eukaryota; Metazoa; Chordata; Mammalia; Rodentia; Muridae.